Molecule: ribosomal RNA, 426 nt
Filed under: uncultured bacterium
Lineage: Bacteria
Description: bacterial SSU rRNA
Rfam family: Bacterial small subunit ribosomal RNA
Source: RNAcentral
GUAGGGAAUAUUGCACAAUGGGCGAAAGCCUGAUGCAGCAACGCCGCGUGCGCGAUGAAGGCCUUCGGGUCGUAAAGCGCUUUUCGGGGAGAUGAGGAAGGACAGUAUCCCCGGAAUAAGGCUCGGCUAACUACGUGCCAGCAGCCGCGGUAAAACGUAGGAGCCUAGCGUUAUCCGAAUUUACUGGGCGUAAAGCGCGUGCAGGCGGUUCGGUAAGUUGGGUGUGAAAUCUCCUGGCUCAACUAGGAGAGGUCGCUCAAUACUGUCGAACUGGAGGAUGGUAGAGGGAGGUGGAAUUCCCGGUGUAGUGGUGAAAUGCGUAGAUAUCGGGAGGAAUACCAGUGGCGAAGGCGGCCUCCUGGGCCAUACCUGACGCUCAGACGCGAAAGCUAGGGGAGCGAACGGGAUUAGAAACCCUAGUAGUCC